AUUUUUCCAACUUUCACUCGGGAGUGUAUUUCUGGCUCACAUUACCUUCUUCAUGGAGGUGGAGCUGCAACAAGCCACCGAGGUUGCAGCAGCUGUACUUGGUGCCUGUACAUCAUGUUCAGGGAGGAGGAGCUGGAGCAAG
Long non-coding RNA from Patiria miniata (bat star), 142 nucleotides. RefSeq lists it as uncharacterized. The transcript is spliced from 3 exons. Lineage: Eukaryota; Metazoa; Echinodermata; Asteroidea; Valvatida; Asterinidae. The record is from RefSeq and is a predicted model, not a curated record.